RNAcentral lists this ribosomal RNA (993 nucleotides) under uncultured bacterium. RNAcentral's name for it is "bacterial SSU rRNA". It matches the Rfam family "Bacterial small subunit ribosomal RNA", at positions 28 to 1024 of the family's 1533-position model. The record is from RNAcentral.
GAUGAACGCUGGCGGCGUGCCUAACACAUGCAAGUCGAACGAAGCAAUUUAACGGAAGUUUUCGGAUGGAAGUUGAAUUGACUGAGUGGCGGACGGGUGAGUAACGCGUGGGUAACCUGCCUUGUACUGGGGGACAACAGUUAGAAAUGACUGCUAAUACCGCAUAAGCGCACAGUAUCGCAUGAUACAGUGUGAAAAACUCCGGUGGUACAAGAUGGACCCGCGUCUGAUUAGCUAGUUGGUAAGGUAACGGCUUACCAAGGCGACGAUCAGUAGCCGACCUGAGAGGGUGACCGGCCACAUUGGGACUGAGACACGGCCCAAACUCCUACGGGAGGCAGCAGUGGGGAAUAUUGCACAAUGGGCGAAAGCCUGAUGCAGCGACGCCGCGUGAGUGAAGAAGUAUUUCGGUAUGUAAAGCUCUAUCAGCAGGGAAGAAAAUGACGGUACCUGACUAAGAAGCCCCGGCUAACUACGUGCCAGCAGCCGCGGUAAUACGUAGGGGGCAAGCGUUAUCCGGAUUUACUGGGUGUAAAGGGAGCGUAGACGGUAAAGCAAGUCUGAAGUGAGAGCCCGCGGCUCAACUGCGGGACUGCUUUGGAAACUGUUUAACUGGAGUGUCGGAGAGGUAAGUGGAAUUCCUAGUGUAGCGGUGAAAUGCGUAGAUAUUANGAGGAACACCAGUGGCGAANGCGACUUACUGGACGAUAACUGACGUUGAGGCUCGAAAGCGUGGGGAGCAAACAGGAUUAGAUACCCUGGNAGUCCACGCCGUAAACGAUGAAUACUANGUGUUGGGGAGCAAAGCUCUNCNGUGCCGUCNCNNCGCANUNNUAUUCCACCUGGGGAGUACGUUCGCAAGANUGAAACUCAAAGGAAUUGACGGGNACCCNGCACAAGCGGUGGAGCAUGUGUUUUAAUUCGAAGCACGCGGAGACCUUACCAGGUCUUGAACAUCGAUCGGACAGGGAGUAACGUCCUCCUUCCUUUCGG